GUUCGCGAAGUAACCCUUCGUGGACAUUUGGUCAAUUUGAAACAAUACAGAGAUGAUCAGCAGUUCCCCUGCAUAAGGAUGAACCGUUUUACAAAGAGAUUUAUUUCGUUUUU
This is a non-coding RNA of Saccharomyces cerevisiae VL3, 113 nucleotides long. The record is from Rfam. Lineage: Eukaryota; Fungi; Ascomycota; Saccharomycetes; Saccharomycetales; Saccharomycetaceae.